UACGGGGGGGGCAAGCGUUGUUCGGAAUUACUGGGCGUAAAGGGUUCGUAGGUGGCCAACUAAGUCAGACGUGAAAUCCCUCAGCUUAACUGGGGAACUGCGUCUGAGACUGGAUGGCUUGAGUGCAGGAGAGGAACGCGGAAUUCCAGGUGUAGCGGUGAAAUGCGUAGAUAUCUGGAGGAACACCGGUGGCGAAGGCGGCGUUCUGGACUGCUACUGACACUGAGGAACGAAAGCGUGGGUAGCAAACAGG
RNAcentral lists this ribosomal RNA (253 nucleotides) under uncultured bacterium. Its description in RNAcentral is "partial 16S ribosomal RNA". It matches the Rfam family "Bacterial small subunit ribosomal RNA", at positions 524 to 776 of the family's 1533-position model. The record is from RNAcentral.